CAGCCGCCGCGGGAAUACGAAGGGUGCAAGCGUUAAUCGGAAUUACUGGGCGUAAAGCGUGCGUAGGCGGUUUGUUAAGUCUGUUGUGAAAUCCCCGGGCUCAACCUGGGAAUGGCAAUGGAUACUGGCAAGCUAGAGUGUGUCAGAGGAUGGUGGAAUUCCCGGUGUAGCGGUGAAAUGCGUAGAGAUCGGGAGGAACAUCAGUGGCGAAGGCGGCCAUCUGGGACAACACUGACACUGAGGCACGAAAGCGUGGAGAGCAAACAGGAUUAGAUACCCCGGUAGUCCCUGUCUCUUAUAC
Molecule: ribosomal RNA, 301 nt
Filed under: uncultured bacterium
Lineage: Bacteria
Description: partial 16S ribosomal RNA
Rfam family: Bacterial small subunit ribosomal RNA
Source: RNAcentral